CCCGGUAAACGGCGGCCGUAACUAUAACGGUCCUAAGGUAGCGAAAUUCCUUGUCGGGUAAGUUCCGACCUGCACGAAAGGCGCAACGACUUGGGCGCUGUCUCGACCAUGGACCCGGUGAAAUUGCACUGGUCGUGAAGAUGCGACUUACCCGCGGAAGGACGGAAAGACCCCGUGAACCUUCACUGCAGCUUGGCAUUGGCCGCUGGUCCCGCGUGUAGAGGAUAGGCAGGAGGCAUCGAUCCGGAGGCGCCAGCCCCCGGGGAGCCGCCCUUGGAAUACUGCCCUCGCGCGACCGGCGUCCUAACCCGAGGCCGUCAACCGGCUCGGGGACCGUGCCAGGCGGGCAGUUUGACUGGGGCGGUCGCCUCCUAAAGGGUAACGGAGGCGCGCGAAGGUCCGCUCGGGACGGUCGGCAACCGUCCUUUUGAAUGCAAGAGUACAAGCGGGCUUGACUGCGAGGCCCACAAGCCGAGCAGGUGCGAAAGCAGGCUCUAGUGAUCCGGCGGCCCCGAGUGGGUGGGCCGUCGCUCAACGGAUAAAAGGUACUCCGGGGAUAACAGGCUGAUCUUGCCCAAGAGUCCACAUCGACGGCAAGGUUUGGCACCUCGAUGUCGGCUCAUCGCAUCCUGGGGCUGGAGCAGGUCCCAAGGGUACGGCUGUUCGCCGUUUAAAGCGGUACGCGAGCUGGGUUCAGAACGUCGUGAGACAGUUCGGUCCCUAUCCUCCGUGGGCGCAGGAGAAUCGAUGGAGGCUGCCCCCAGUACGAGAGGACCGGGGUGGACGCACCUCCGGUGAACCGGUUGUCGACCAACGGCACGGCCGGGUAGCCGCGUGCGGCGCGGAUAACCGCUGAAGGCAUCUAAGCGGGAAGCCGUUCCAGGGAUUAGUUCUCCUUCCGGUAAGGGCCCAGGUAGACUACCUGGUCGAUAGACGGCAGGUGCAAGGCUGGCGACAGCCUCAGCCGAGCCGCACUAAUCGCCCGAGCUCUUCCGGAA
This 998-nucleotide ribosomal RNA is filed under the name human gut metagenome. RNAcentral describes it as "bacterial LSU rRNA". It matches the Rfam family "Bacterial large subunit ribosomal RNA", at positions 1919 to 2925 of the family's 2925-position model. The record is from RNAcentral.